Molecule: non-coding RNA, 63 nt
Organism: Rattus norvegicus (Norway rat)
Lineage: Eukaryota; Metazoa; Chordata; Mammalia; Rodentia; Muridae
Source: Rfam
GGGGAUUUAGCUCAGUGGUAGAGCACUUGCCUAGCAAGCACAAGGCCCUGGGUUCAGUCCCUA